AGUCGAGGGGUAUUAGUUUUCGGACUAAGAGACCGGCGCACGGGUGCGUAACGCGUAUGCAAUCUACCUUUUACAGAGGGAUAGCCCAGAGAAAUUUGGAUUAAUACCUCAUAGUAUAGCAGGCUGGCAUCAUGCUUCUAUUAAAGUCACAACGGUAAAAGAUGAGCAUGCGUCCCAUUAGCUAGUUGGUAAGGUAACGGCUUACCAAGGCUACGAUGGGUAGGGGUCCUGAGAGGGAGAUCCCCCACACUGGUACUGAGACACGGACCAGACUCCUACGGGAGGCAGCAGUGAGGAAUAUUGGACAAUGGGCGCAAGCCUGAUCCAGCCAUGCCGCGUGCAGGAUGACGGUCCUAUGGAUUGUAAACUGCUUUUAUACGAGAAGAAACACUCCUUCGUGAAGGAGCUUGACGGUAUCGUAAGAAUAAGGAUCGGCUAACUCCGUGCCAGCAGCCGCGGUAAUACGGAGGAUCCAAGCGUUAUCCGGAAUCAUUGGGUUUAAAGGGUCCGUAGGCGGUUUAAUAAGUCAGUGGUGAAAGCCCAUCGCUCAACGGUGGAACGGCCAUUGAUACUGUUAGACUUGAAUUAUUAGGGAAGUAACUAGAAUAUGUAGUGUAGCGGUGAAAUGCUUAGAGAUUACAUGGAAUACCAAUUGCGAAAGGCAGGUUACUACUAAUUGAUUGACGCUGAUGG
RNAcentral lists this ribosomal RNA (693 nucleotides) under Flavobacterium sp. T54.08.B.BNT.WR.H.Gill.D.M. Its description in RNAcentral is "bacterial SSU rRNA". It matches the Rfam family "Bacterial small subunit ribosomal RNA", at positions 60 to 752 of the family's 1533-position model. The record is from RNAcentral. Lineage: Bacteria; Pseudomonadati; Bacteroidota; Flavobacteriia; Flavobacteriales; Flavobacteriaceae.